AGAGUUUGAUCAUGGCUCAGGAUGAACGCUGGCGGCGUGCCUAAUACAUGCAAGUCGAGCGAGCGGACGAGAAGCUUGCUUCUCUGAUGUUAGCGGCGGACGGGUGAGUAACACGUGGAUAACCUACCUAUAAGACUGGGAUAACUUCGGGAAACCGGAGCUAAUACCGGAUAAUAUUUUGAACCGCAUGGUUCAAAAGUGAGAGACGGUCUUGCUGUCACUUAUAGAUGGAUCCGCGCUGCAUUAGCUAGUUGGUAAGGUAACGGCUUACCAAGGCAACGAUGCAUAGCCGACCUGAGAGGGUGAUCGGCCACACUGGAACUGAGACACGGUCCAGACUCCUACGGGAGGCAGCAGUAGGGAAUCUUCCGCAAUGGGCGAAAGCCUGACGGAGCAACGCCGCGUGAGUGAUGAAGGUCUUCGGAUCGUAAAACUCUGUUAUUAGGGAAGAACAUAUGUGUAAGUAACUGUGCACAUCUUGACGGUACCUAAUCAGAAAGCCACGGCUAACUACGUGCCAGCAGCCGCGGUAAUACGUAGGUGGCAAGCGUUAUCCGGAAUUAUUGGGCGUAAAGCGCGCGUAGGCGGUUUUUUAAGUCUGAUGUGAAAGCCCACGGCUCAACCGUGGAGGGUCAUUGGAAACUGGAAAACUUGAGUGCAGAAGAGGAAAGUGGAAUUCCAUGUGUAGCGGUGAAAUGCGCAGAGAUAUGGAGGAACACCAGUGGCGAAGGCGACUUUCUGGUCUGUAACUGACGCUGAUGUGCGAAAGCGUGGGGAUCAAACAGGAUUAGAUACCCUGGUAGUCC
RNAcentral lists this ribosomal RNA (806 nucleotides) under uncultured bacterium. RNAcentral describes it as "bacterial SSU rRNA". It matches the Rfam family "Bacterial small subunit ribosomal RNA", at positions 8 to 796 of the family's 1533-position model. The record is from RNAcentral.